GGAGAGGUGGCUCAGUGGUUAAGAGCAGUGAUUGUUCUUCUAAAAGUCCUGAGUUCAAUUCCCAGCAACCACA
This 73-nucleotide transfer RNA is filed under the name Mus musculus (house mouse). RNAcentral describes it as "tRNA-Asn". Lineage: Eukaryota; Metazoa; Chordata; Mammalia; Rodentia; Muridae. The record is from RNAcentral.